RNAcentral lists this unclassified non-coding RNA (608 nucleotides) under Hevea brasiliensis (rubber tree). The record is from RNAcentral. Lineage: Eukaryota; Viridiplantae; Streptophyta; Magnoliopsida; Malpighiales; Euphorbiaceae.
UCCUCUUUUAUCCGGGCUUGAGAGCGGCUAACCGUAAACUACUGAGACGGAGUUAAUGAUCUUAUAUUUAAUAAAUAUGAAAAUUUUUCUAGAGGUACUCUUUCUAAUAAAGGUGAGUAGCAUAAAUUUGGUGGAAACUUUAUUUCCGUAGAGUUAUCUUUAUCAAGGUAGAUGUGUCCACCAACUUAUCUUCUCGAAUGUGGCAUUGUUACCUUGCCACCUCGUUUCAUAGAAUUUGUCAUUGUGGAUGUUUAUUUACACUUUCGAUAAGGAGUGCUGGCUUAGCUUCACACACUGAAUGGAAAUAUUCUGUGGAGGUGUGUGGAAUAAAAGGGGAAGAAAAAAAGAAAAGGAAAAUAUAGGUAGAAUCUGUUUGUUGUUUCUUUGAUGUGCAUGCAGUUUUAUAGAUAUUGGAGUGAAGUUUAGGGAUGAGAAAUGCUUGACAAUGAGUUUUGCAUGCCUUAUUAAGUGUUUUAAGAAGUUGAAGAGGUAUGAGAGUAUUUUGCAAUGCAAGGUUCCAUUAAGAGAUAUUGCAAAGGAUGUUUCAAAAGUAGAGUUGGGGAAAAUUAAGCUCUAAGCAACUUUAUGUAGGCUUUGCGGAUGGGGUU